Molecule: ribosomal RNA, 430 nt
Filed under: uncultured Vibrio sp.
Lineage: Bacteria; Pseudomonadati; Pseudomonadota; Gammaproteobacteria; Vibrionales; Vibrionaceae
Description: bacterial SSU rRNA
Rfam family: Bacterial small subunit ribosomal RNA
Source: RNAcentral
GUGGGGAAUAUUGCACAAUGGGCGCAAGCCUGAUGCAGCCAUGCCGCGUGUAUGAAGAAGGCCUUCGGGUUGUAAAGUACUUUCAGUCGUGAGGAAGGUGGUGUUGUUAAUAGCAGCAUCAUUUGACGUUAGCGACAGAAGAAGCACCGGCUAACUCCGUGCCAGCAGCCGCGGUAAUACGGAGGGUGCGAGCGUUAAUCGGAAUUACUGGGCGUAAAGCGCAUGCAGGUGGUGGAUUAAGUCAGAUGUGAAAGCCCGGGGCUCAACCUCGGAACCGCAUUUGAAACUGGUUCACUAGAGUACUGUAGAGGGGGGUAGAAUUUCAGGUGUAGCGGUGAAAUGCGUAGAGAUCUGAAGGAAUACCGGUGGCGAAGGCGGCCCCCUGGACAGAUACUGACACUCAGAUGCGAAAGCGUGGGGAGCAAACAGG